GGGUUGUGAGGUUAAGCGACUAAGCGUACACGGUGGAUGCCCUGGCAGUCAGAGGCGAUGAAGGACGUGCUAAUCUGCGAAAAGCGUCGGUAAGGUGAUAUGAACCGUUAUAGCCGGCGAUGUCCGAAUGGGGAAACCCAGUGCAAUUCGUUGCACUAUCGUUAACUGAAUACAUAGGUUAACGAGGCGAACCGGGGGAACUGAAACAUCUAAGUACCCCGAGGAAAAGAAAUCAACCGAGAUUCCCCCAGUAGCGGCGAGCGAACGGGGAGCAGCCCAGAGUCUGAAUCAGCUUGUGUGUUAGUGGAACGGUCUGGAAAGUCCGACGGUACAGGGUGAUAGUCCCGUACACCAAAAUGCACAGGCUGUGAACUCGAAGAGUAGGGCGGGACACGUGGUAUCCUGUCUGAAUAUGGGGGGACCAUCCUCCAAGGCUAAAUACUCCUGACUGACCGAUAGUGAACCAGUACCGUGAGGGAAAGGCGAAAAGAACCCCGGCGAGGGGAGUGAAAAAGAACCUGAAACCGUGUACGUACAAGCAGUGGGAGCACCUUCGGGUGUGACUGCGUACCUUUUGUAUAAUGGGUCAGCGACUUAUAUUCUGUAGCAAGGUUAACCGUAUAGGGGAGCCGCAGGGAAACCGAGUCUUAACUGGGCGUUAAGUUGCAGGGUAUAGACCCGAAACCCGGUGAUCUAGCCAUGGGCAGGUUGAAGGUUGGGUAACACUAACUGGAGGACCGAACCGACUAAUGUUGAAAAAUUAGCGGAUGACUUGUGGCUGGGGGUGAAAGGCCAAUCAAACCGGGAGAUAGCUGGUUCUCCCCGAAAGCUAUUUAGGUAGCGCCUCGUGAACUCAUCUUCGGGGGUAGAGCACUGUUUCGGCUAGGGGGUCAUCCCGACUUACCAACCCGAUGCAAACUACGAAUACCGAAGAAUGUUAUCACGGGAGACACACGGCGGGUGCUAACGUCCGUCGUGAAGAGGGAAACAACCCAGACCGCCAGCUAAGGUCCCAAAGUCAUGGUUAAGUGGGAAACGAUGUGGGAAGGCACAGACAGCCAGGAUGUUGGCUUAGAAGCAGCCAUCAUUUAAAGAAAGCGUAAUAGCUCACUGGUCGAGUCGGCCUGCGCGGAAGAUGUAACGGGGCUAAACCAUGCACCGAAGCUGCGGCAGCGACACUAUGUGUUGUUGGGUAGGGGAGCGUUCUGUAAGCCUGCGAAGGUGACCUGUGAGGGUUGCUGGAGGUAUCAGAAGUGCGAAUGCUGACAUAAGUAACGAUAAAGCGGGUGAAAAGCCCGCUCGCCGGAAGACCAAGGGUUCCUGUCCAACGUUAAUCGGGGCAGGGUGAGUCGACCCCUAAGGCGAGGCCGAAAGGCGUAGUCGAUGGGAAACAGGUUAAUAUUCCUGUACUUGGUGUUACUGCGAAGGGGGGACGGAGAAGGCUAUGUUAGCCGGGCGACGGUUGUCCCGGUUUAAGCAUGUAGGCUGGUUGUCCAGGCAAAUCCGGAUAAUCAAGGCUGAGGUGUGAUGACGAGGUACUACGGUGCUGAAGUAACAAAUGCCCUGCUUCCAGGAAAAGCCUCUAAGCAUCAGGUAACAUCAAAUCGUACCCCAAACCGACACAGGUGGUCAGGUAGAGAAUACCAAGGCGCUUGAGAGAACUCGGGUGAAGGAACUAGGCAAAAUGGUGCCGUAACUUCGGGAGAAGGCACGCUGGUGUGUAGGUGAAGUCCCUGCGGAUGGAGCUGAGACCAGUCGAAGAUACCAGCUGGCUGCAACUGUUUAUUAAAAACACAGCACUGUGCAAACACGAAAGUGGACGUAUACGGUGUGACGCCUGCCCGGUGCCGGAAGGUUAAUUGAUGGGGUUAUCCGUAAGGAGAAGCUCUUGAUCGAAGCCCCGGUAAACGGCGGCCGUAACUAUAACGGUCCUAAGGUAGCGAAAUUCCUUGUCGGGUAAGUUCCGACCUGCACGAAUGGCGUAAUGAUGGCCAGGCUGUCUCCACCCGAGACUCAGUGAAAUUGAACUCGCUGUGAAGAUGCAGUGUACCCGCGGCAAGACGGAAAGACCCCGUGAACCUUUACUAUAGCUUGACACUGAACAUUGAGCCUUGAUGUGUAGGAUAGGUGGGAGGCUUUGAAGCGUGGACGCCAGUCUGCGUGGAGCCAACCUUGAAAUACCACCCUUUAAUGUUUGAUGUUCUAACGUUGGCCCCUGACCGGGGUUGCGGACAGUGUCUGGUGGGUAGUUUGACUGGGGCGGUCUCCUCCCAAAGCGUAACGGAGGAGCACGAAGGUUAGCUAAUCCUGGUCGGACAUCAGGAGGUUAGUGCAAUGGCAUAAGCUAGCUUGACUGCGAGCGUGACGGCGCGAGCAGGUGCGAAAGCAGGUCAUAGUGAUCCGGUGGUUCUGAAUGGAAGGGCCAUCGCUCAACGGAUAAAAGGUACUCCGGGGAUAACAGGCUGAUACCGCCCAAGAGUUCAUAUCGACGGCGGUGUUUGGCACCUCGAUGUCGGCUCAUCACAUCCUGGGGCUGAAGUAGGUCCCAAGGGUAUGGCUGUUCGCCAUUUAAAGUGGUACGCGAGCUGGGUUUAGAACGUCGUGAGACAGUUCGGUCCCUAUCUGCCGUGGGCGCUGGAGAAUUGAGGGGGGCUGCUCCUAGUACGAGAGGACCGGAGUGGACGCAUCACUGGUGUUCGGGUUGUCAUGCCAAUGGCACUGCCCGGUAGCUAAAUGCGGAAGAGAUAAGUGCUGAAAGCAUCUAAGCACGAAACUUGCCCCGAGAUGAGUUCUCCCUGAGACUUUAAGUCUCCUGAAGGAACGUU
Molecule: ribosomal RNA, 2825 nt
Filed under: Klebsiella pneumoniae subsp. pneumoniae
Lineage: Bacteria; Pseudomonadati; Pseudomonadota; Gammaproteobacteria; Enterobacterales; Enterobacteriaceae
Description: bacterial LSU rRNA
Rfam family: Bacterial large subunit ribosomal RNA
Source: RNAcentral